UACGUAGGGUGCGAGCGUUAAUCGGAAUUGCUGGGCGUAAAGCGCGCGCAGGCGGCGCGUUAAGACAGGUGUGAAAGCCCCCGGCUUAACCGGGGAGGGUCGUUGGGGACGGCGGGGCUUGAGGGCGGGAGAGGUCGGUGGAAUUCCCGGUGUAGUGGUGAAAUGCGUAGAGAUCGGGAGGAACACCUGUGGCGAAGGCGGCCGACUGGGCCGACCCUGACGCUGAGGCGCGAAGGCGUGGGGAGCGAACGGG
Molecule: ribosomal RNA, 253 nt
Filed under: uncultured bacterium
Lineage: Bacteria
Description: partial 16S ribosomal RNA
Rfam family: Bacterial small subunit ribosomal RNA
Source: RNAcentral